CCCAGUAAUAUCACACAUCACCACUUGUCUGAAUAACAAUCUGAACUAACAUUAACAGUAUCAUGUUAAAACAUGCAUUCUUUUACCAAAUUAUAUUUUAAGCGAUGCCAUUGUAACUACCGAAACAACUCAAAUGCCUGAAAUCUAGCAGGCUGCAAGAUGAAUUUGUAUUCCCACACCAAAUCAAAUCAAUGCACUAAAUCAGUAGCAGUUUUUUUUUAACACUUCAAUGGACCAAAACAUAUUAAUAUCAUCAUGAUCAUAACGAUUUCUUUGCCUUUGAACAUCUAGAAGUGACUAUUAUAGAAGCUGUCAAUUAAAAAACAGACAUACGCAAUCUCUCACUCAAUCAAAUACUUUGUGGAAGCUUGUUCUGCUGGGUAACCCAAAAAAAAACUAUUGUAAUACACACAAAAGUUCCAAACUAAAAUCCACUUGCAGUAACAUCGAUCUAUAAACCUGUUUUAGAUAUUGGACCGGUGUCAGAUUCCAUCUACUUUAUUGGCCAAUCUAUUUACCUUCAGUUUUUGAUGUAGUAAACCUUUGCAUUGUUUGUCAUUUAAAAUUAUGUAAAGAACAAUCAUCCUUAUUUUUAUACCAUUUUGGAAAAAUUUAUAUUAUGUAGACAACUGCAAUUAUACCUUUGCAUUGUUUGUUGUUUAAACUCAAGUAUGAUACACAAAUUAAAAACAUAUGUUCUUUUUUCCUGUACCAUUAUGCAGAAUUUGUCCUUGUAUGGUCAAUUGCGAUACCAAAUGUAAGAGUAAUUUUAAAUACACACCCCUAAUCUCUUAAUACACAUCUCUUACUUAAUACACUACUCAUC
This 826-nucleotide long non-coding RNA is filed under the name Fragaria vesca (wild strawberry). RNAcentral's name for it is "long non-coding RNA (FVES_LNC003985)". The record is from RNAcentral. Lineage: Eukaryota; Viridiplantae; Streptophyta; Magnoliopsida; Rosales; Rosaceae.